This 522-nucleotide ribosomal RNA is filed under the name uncultured bacterium. Its description in RNAcentral is "bacterial SSU rRNA". It matches the Rfam family "Bacterial small subunit ribosomal RNA", at positions 8 to 518 of the family's 1533-position model. The record is from RNAcentral.
AGAGUUUGAUCCUGGCUAGGACGAACGCUGGCGGCGUGCCUAACACAUGCAAGUCGAGCGGGGACAUACGACGGAGUCAAAGUUUCGGAUGGAGACGAAGAUGUAUGUUCUAGCGGCGGACGGGUGAGUAACGCGUGAGCAACCUGUCCCUUACAGGGGGAUAACACAGCGAAAGUUGUACUAAUACCGCAUGAGACCACGGGAGGACAUCCUCCAGGGGUCAAAGGAGCAAUCCGGUAAGGGGUGGGCUCGCGUCCGAUUAGAUAGUUGGUGAGGUAACGGCCCACCAAGUCGACGAUCGGUAGCCGACCUGAGAGGGUGAUCGGCCACAUUGGGACUGAGACACGGCCCAAACUCCUACGGGAGGCAGCAGUGGGGAAUAUUGGGCAAAUGGGGGAAACCCUGACCCAGCAACGCCGCGUGAGGGAAGAAGGUUUUCGGAUCGUAAACCUCUGUCCUUGGUGAAGGGGAAGAGACGGUAGCCAAGGAGGAAGCCCCGGCUAACUACGUGCCAGCCGCCGC